GGUUAUGGCUCAGUGGCAGAGCACUUGCCUAGCACGUGUGAGACACUGGGUUCAACUCUCAGCACCA
This 67-nucleotide transfer RNA is filed under the name Marmota monax (woodchuck). RNAcentral's name for it is "tRNA.Ala". The record is from RNAcentral. Lineage: Eukaryota; Metazoa; Chordata; Mammalia; Rodentia; Sciuridae.